This is an RNA transcript of Pseudoliparis swirei, 6859 nucleotides long. RefSeq lists it as uncharacterized. The transcript has 2 exons. Lineage: Eukaryota; Metazoa; Chordata; Actinopteri; Perciformes; Liparidae. The record is from RefSeq and is a predicted model, not a curated record.
CCCCACAUUGUCAUGUGUUGCAUUUGAGACGUUGAGUGGUCUAGAAGGCAAUUGCCUUUUUUGGUUCUUAGAUUUAUCCCUCCUCUCUCACCGUAGUUAGUUCCCGUUUCAUUUCCAACUGAAAGCACAAACUGCAGCUACGUUUCACCUUUACUGCUUGAUAGCCUCUGAAGUUCAAAGUCUGUAAGUAUCUAUGUAUGCAACUUGUAAAUAUCUGCUAUGUGUCAUUACUGUUAUAAUAUAAUACUGUGCUGUAGCAGUGGACGCUAAUUAGCGUCUAGCUAAUCGCGAUUAGCUAGAUGCUAAUCGCGAUUAGCAUUUGUCAUGUCAGGAUUAGCUUGGACUCUUAAGUAGUCAGGAUAUUCAUGUUGAUGGAUAGGGGUAAUUUAUGUCAUGAUGGCCUUGUGUUAAUCAUAAUGUUGUUUAUGCAUAUGUCUGUGGACAGUUUGUGAAGCUAUGCUAUGUUAUGUCUCCACAGUUUUACAAUAUCAAAGAUCAAUACUAAAGACCCUAAAACUCAACUCUGGAUUCAUGAGUCUUCAUUUUAUGGAUCUGCUGUUAGCUAUCUGCUAAGCUAACCUAAAGAAGUAAGAGCAGAAUAGUAAAAAGACUAAUCAAAAUGCCUAUCAAACGAAAAGUGGAUUAAGCACACUGCAGACCAGAGAUACAGCUCAGUAUAACCUUUACAAGUCAUUAUGGAGGAAAACAAAGUAGAAAACCUUCUGGGAGUUACAUCUGAUGAACAGUCUCAAUACUCCUCCUGUUCCAAACGCUCAAACCAAUCGAGCCGUUCUUCAACACACAGCUCUGCUGCCACCAAGGCAAGAGCUAAAGCAGAAGCUGCUCGGGUCAAAGCUUCGUAUGCUCAGAGAGAAGCAGACAUGUUAAUAGAGCAGGCACGGAUAGAAGCAGACAUGUUAAUAGAGCAGGCACGGAUAGAAGCAGAAGAAUUAAAAGUAAGAGCGGAACAGCAAAGAAGGAAAACUGAGCUACAGGCGAAUCUACAUGCACUGAAAAUUCAGGGCGCCGCUGUAGCAGCUAUCACAGAAGCUGAAAUCCUUGAAGCAGCUUACGAGGAAAACGGUGGAGAACGACCAAGACAAAAUGUGACAAAUCUAGCUCCACAUCCACCACCUCAACGCACCAAGGAAUAUGUGCAACAACAUUCUCAGGACCAUGGUCAGCAACAACACCAACUCACAAAACGAGAACCUCUUUCUCCAUCAAAGCGCCAGCCAAAUAUGGACAACGAUGAUGCAGACAAUCCGGGUCUCCAAAUUGAUAGUUUUGGUGGACUUCACGACCGCACAUUCCAAGAAUUACCAGCAUAACACCAGAGCAUGAGUCCAACCAUCAUUCAGCGUAGCCACGCACGCCCUCUGAAGUUCCUCCAAGAAGAACGUGGACCCCUCCAGACUCACAUUACACUGUCAGAAGGUACAGACCAGGUCAUGCCCUCCAGAGCAACUCCGUAUGUUCAAUCAGAUAUAGCUGAUUUAGCCAGGUACCUGAUUCGCAAAGAAAUAGUGAGUUCUGGACUUGUAAAAUUUGACGAUAGACCAGAGAACUAUUGGACAUGGAAAGCCUCUUUUGUCAACUCCAUGAGUGACCUGAACCUUACCGCCAGAGAAGAGUUGGAUUUACUAACCAAAUGGCUUGGACCACAGUCUGCAGAGCAAGCAAAACGUAUCCGUGCAGUCAACAUUAAUAAUGCUAGCUCAGGCCUCCAAAUGAUCUGGCAGAGAUUGGAAGAAUGCUACGGUUCAGCUGAAAUGAUUGAACAUGCUCUCUUAACAAAGUUAGAGGAGUUUCCUAAGAUUUCAAACAAAGAUAAUGAGAAGCUGAGGGAGCUAGGGGACCUGUUGCUAGAACUGGAGGCAGCUAGGAAAGAUGGGUUCUUACCUGGACUCUCUUACCUCAACACACCCCGUGGAGUCAACCCCAUCGCACAGAAGCUCCCCUAUAACCUUGUAGAGAAAUGGAUCUCAGUUGGCUCUAAAUACAAAAAUGAUUAUCAGGUCCAAUAUCCUCCUUUUAGUGUGUUUGUAAAGUUCAUUUGCGACCAGGCAAAGAUCAGAAAUGACCCCAGCUUUGCUGAACUUACCAUGGGUGGUUCCACGAGGACAGAUACAUCUCUGAAAAACAUAAAACCAUCUGUGUUCACCCGGAAAACGGAAGUUUCCUCAGAGGGUGAAGCCAAGCACAACAACAUGGAGAGACAGUUUGAGGAUCCAGACAGACGGUGUCCAUUACAUAAUAAGCCCCAUCCUCUAAGAAAAUGUCGUGGGUUUCGCAACAAGACAAUAGAAGACAGAAAAGCUUACCUGAAAGAGAAACGUAUCUGUUUCAAGUGUUGUGCUUCAACAAGUCACUUCGCCAAGGACUGCGAGGAAGCGGUGCACUGCAAAGAGUGCAAUAGCAGCAGACACCCAUCUGCACUCCACCCUGGGCCAAUGUUAUGGGAACCAGUGAGCAAUGCUCUUAAGGAAGAUCAAAGCGGGGAGCAACAGGAAGAUGAGACCCCAGAGGUUAUGUCAAAAUGCACAGAAGUCUGCGGGGACUCCAUCAGCGCACGAUCAUGUUCCAAAAUAUGCUUGGUCAAGGUCUACCCUGCAGGUCAAAGAGAGAAAGCUGUUAAAGUCUACGCUGUCCUCGAUGAACAGAGUAACAGGUCCUUGGCAAAGACAGAGCUCUUCGACCGUCUUGACAUUAGAGCAGGUGCUGCACCAUACAUCCUUAAAACAUGCUCAGGGGUUAUGGAAACAUCAGGACGACGCGCAACUAAACUCAUAGUUGAGUCCAUGGAUGGCAACGUACAGAUUCCUCUCCCCACACUCAUAGAGUGUGACAUGAUGCCUGACGACCGUUCGGAGAUCCCCUCCCCAGAGAUAGCACAUUAUUAUCCCCACCUCAAGCCGGUAGCGGAUAAAAUCCCAGCUAUUGAUCCUGAUACAGCCAUUCUCCUUCUCCUUGGCAGAGACCUACUACGGGUACACAAGGUGCGAAAACAGUACAAUGGACCCAACAAUGCACCGUAUGCUCAACAACUGGACCUUGGGUGGGUUAUUGUUGGAGAAGUAUGUCUCAGUGGAGCCCACAAACCCAACAGUAUCAACGUCUACAAGACCAAUAUACUACAUAAUGGGCGCACAUCUUUCUUUAGUCCAUGUGCUAGUGGUAUCCAUGUAAAAGAGAAAGUUAACAAGAGGACGUCAAGUCAGAGCAAUCAAAUCUUCAAAGACACAGAGCUCCUGGAGGAUGACAAUCUUGGAAGCAAAGUUUUUGACAGGACAAAAGAGGAUGAGAAAAUGGCAUUGUCCAUUGAAGAUAAAGCCUUCCUGGAGAUUAUGGACAAACAUGUCUUCAUGAAUGAUGCAAACACCUGGGUGGCCCCCUUACCAUUCCGUUACCCGAGGCCCCGUCUCCCAAAUAAUAGAGGUCAAGCAGCCAAACGUCUCUCUUCUCUAUGUCGCACCCUGGAAAGAAAGCCAGGAGUGAAAAAACAAUACUUUGACUUCAUGCAGAAGAUCUUCGAGUCAGGCCAGGCAGAGCUAGCUCCAUUAUUGAAGAAGAACCAAGAGUGCUGGUACCUUCCAGCAUUUGGCGUCUACCACCCUCAGAAGCCAGAUCAAAUACGGGUGGUGUUUGAUUCGAGUGCCAAGCACGAAGGCAUCUCUCUCAACGAAAUCCUUUUGAAGGGACCAGAUUUGAAUAACACUCUUCUUGGAGUACUCAUCCGUUUCCGCAAGGAACCUAUUGCAGUCAUAGCAGACAUUCAACAGAUGUUCUAUUGUUUCACAGUCUGUGAGAACCAUCGUGACUUCUUACGGUUCUUGUGGUUUGAAGGUAACGACUUCACAAAACCAGUGACCGAGUACCGAAUGACAGUACAUGUGUUCGGCAACAGCCCUUCACCAUCUGUGGCCAUCUAUGGGUUAAGACGUGCAGCGCAAGAAGGACACAAAGAACAUGGUACAGAUGCUAAGCAGUUCGUCAUGAGGAACUUUUAUGUGGAUGAUGGGCUAGCCUCAUUUCCCACUGAGGAUGAAGCCAUCAGUGUUCUGAAAAGAACAAAAGAGAUGCUAGCUGAGUCAAGCAUCAUGCUGCAUAAAAUAGCAUCCAACAGCAGCAGCAUUAUGGACGCUUUCCCAUCUGAAGAUCGUGCCAAAUGUUUUAAGGAUCUAGACCUGUCAUCUGAUCCUCUGCCUCACCAACACAGUUUAGGUCUCAGAUGGGAUAUGCAAACUGACAGCUUCUCCUUCUGCGUGUCCGAUAAGGAAAAGCCAUUCACUAGGAGGGGCAUACUAUCAACGGUCAACAGUCUCUAUGAUCCCUUAGGGUUCGUAGCACCAAUCACAAUUCAAGGGAAGGCACUUGUCAGAGACAUCUCUAAAGAAGAGUAUGAUUGGGACACACAACUCCCAGCAGAGAAAGAAAUCCAGUGGAAUGCCUGGAAAGAUUCCCUCAUGGAACUAAAGCAUAUUCAGAUUCAGAGGACCUACAUUCCUGUUUCGUUGCUCGCUACAGCACACAGAGAAAUAUGUGUUUUCUCAGAUGCAUCAACGAUGGCUAUAUCAGCUGUAGCUUACCUCAGGGCAGUCGAUACAGAAGGACACAGACAUGUUGGGUUCAUUAUGGGUAGAUCCAAGCUGGCUCCACGUCCUGCACAUACCAUACCUCGUUUGGAACUGUGUGCGGCUGUAUUGGCAACAGAGAUGGCAGACCUGAUAAUGGAUGAAAUUGAUGUGGAGAUCCAAACAGUAAAAUUCUACACGGACAGCAAGAUUGUAUUGGGCUACAUUCAUAAUGCAACCAGGAACUUCUACGUCUAUGUGGCUAACAGAGUGACACGAAUCAGGAAGUCCUCUCACCCAAGCCAGUGGCACUACAUCAGAACCAACCAUAAUCCUGCAGAUCAUGGAUCUAGGUCUGUCCCUGCUAAUCUUCUGAAAGACACCAACUGGUUUUCCGGUCCAUCUUUUCUGACAAGACCGGAAAAGGACGAGUUGCCAUGUCCAGAUGUAUUUGAUCUUCUAUAUCCAGAGACUGACGUAGAGGUGCGCCCUCUAGUUUCAACCUAUGCCACAAAUGCAACAAGUGGACUUCUCGGCUCCCAUCGGUUUGGAAGAUUCUCCAGUUGGAAAUCCCUUAUCCGUGCAAUAGCUAGGCUCAUCCAAAAAGCCAGAGCCUUCUCUGUAACUUCACCUCAAUGUAGCCAGGAAAAGGAUGAACUCCUUCAAGCAAGACUCAUAAUUAUGAAAAAUGUACAACACAACCUCUUCAAAGAAGAAGUAAAAAACAUCUCAAAGGGGGACAAAGUCUCAAUGCGCAGUCCGCUCAUUUAUCUGGACCCCAUUAUUGAUGACAGUGGUUUGCUGAGAGUUGGAGGUCGAACAUCUUUGGCAGACAUGUCCUGGGAAGAAAAGCAUCCAAUCAUCCUUCCCAAGAGCCAUCACGUCUCUACCCUGCUGGUAAGACACUACCACCAACAAGUUGCUCACCAAGGUCGGCAUUUCACUGAAGGAGCAAUUCGAACCGCCGGAUUGUGGAUAAGAGGAAGCAAGGGAUUGGUGUCAAGUGUGAUACAUAAAUGCGUCACCUGCAAAAGGUUAAGAGGAAAGCUAGAAGAACAAAAAAUGUCUGACCUACCUUUGGAUAGACUCACUUUGGAUCCCCCAUUUACCAAUGUUGGUCUUGACGUUUUCGGACCUUGGACUAUAACAUCACGUAGGACCAGAGGCGGCCAUGCAGAAGCCAAACGAUGGGCAGUCAUGUUCACCUGUCUGAGUACACGUGCGGUGCACAUCGAAGUCAUUGAGAAUAUGACAACAUCCAGCUUCAUUAACGCUUUGAGGAGAUUCACUGCUAUCAGAGGUCCUGUGAGACUAUUGCGUUCAGAUAGGGGAACAAAUUUCAUUGGAGCUUGCAAAGAACUGCAGAUUAACUCAGAAGAUCUAGAGUUGAAAGCUCACCUGCGAGACAAAAGCUGCACCUGGAUAUUUAAUCCGCCACACUCUUCUCACAUGGGGGGUGUGUGGGAAAGGAUGAUCGGUGUUGCACGUCGCAUUUUAGAUGCGAUGUUGUUGAAAGAGAACUGUCAUCUAUCACAUGAAGUACUUGUGACACUAAUGACUGAAGUCAUGGCAAUAAUGAACGCGAGACCUCUAGUUCCAGUGACUUCUGAUCCUGAGAUGCCAGCGGUUUUAACGCCCGCAAUGCUGCUUACACAGAAGACUGAGGCAGUAUCUGCUCCGUCAGGGAAAAUGGAUCUCAAAGAUCUCUAUACCAAGCAGUGGAGACAAGUCCAAAGCCUUGCUGAAACCUUCUGGAGACGCUGGAAGCAAGAAUAUUUGGUGACCCUCCAGUCUCGCAAGAAGUGGCAGUCAGAAAGACCAAAUCUACAAGUUGGAGAUGUGGUACUUUUCAAAGACACUCAAGUUAAGAGAAAUGAGUGGCCAACGGGAGUUAUUGUCCAAACCACUCCCAGUCGCGAUGGCAGAGUUCGAAAAGUAAAUGUCAGGAUCAUCAAAGAAGGCACCCCUAAGGUGUAUUCAAGACCUGUCUCAGAAGUUGUCCUGCUCCUCAGUGAGGGGACAUAGUGGUAUUAUAAAAUACCAAACGGGGAGUGUUCUGCCCCACAUUGUCAUGUGUUGCAUUUGAGACGUUGAGUGGUCUAGAAGGCAAUUGCCUUUUUUGGUUCUUAGAUUUAUCCCUCCUCUCUCACCGUAGUUAGUUCCCGUUUCAUUUCCAACUGAAAGCACAAACUGCAGCUACGUUUCACCUUUACUGCUUGAUAGCCUCUGAAGUUCAAAGUCUUUUUACAAUAUCAAAGAUCAAUACUAAAGACCCUAAAACUCAA